Molecule: ribosomal RNA, 429 nt
Filed under: Chloroflexota bacterium
Lineage: Bacteria; Bacillati; Chloroflexota
Description: Chloroflexi bacterium partial 16S ribosomal RNA
Rfam family: Bacterial small subunit ribosomal RNA
Source: RNAcentral
UGGGGAAUAUUGCACAAUGGGCGCAAGCCUGAUGCAGCCAUGCCGCGUGUAUGAAGAAGGCCUUCGGGUUGUAAAGUACUUUCAGUCGGGAGGAAGGUGGUAAGGUUAAUAACCUUAUCAAUUGACGUUACCGACAGAAGAAGCACCGGCUAACUCCGUGCCAGCAGCCGCGGUAAUACGGAGGGUGCAAGCGUUAAUCGGAAUUACUGGGCGUAAAGCGCACGCAGGCGGUUGAUUGAGUCAGAUGUGAAAUCCCCGGGCUUAACCCGGGAAUUGCAUCUGAUACUGGUCAGCUAGAGUCUUGUAGAGGGGGGUAGAAUUCCAUGUGUAGCGGUGAAAUGCGUAGAGAUGUGGAGGAAUACCGGUGGCGAAGGCGGCUCCCUGGACAAAGACUGACGCUCAGGUGCGAAAGCGUGGGGAGCAAACAGG